This 264-nucleotide signal recognition particle RNA is filed under the name Conexibacter woesei DSM 14684. Its description in RNAcentral is "Bacterial large signal recognition particle RNA". It matches the Rfam family "Bacterial large signal recognition particle RNA". From Rfam's summary of the family: The signal recognition particle (SRP) is a universally conserved ribonucleoprotein involved in the co-translational targeting of proteins to membranes. Archaeal SRP consists of a 7S RNA and homologues of the eukaryotic SRP19 and SRP54 proteins. In most bacteria, the SRP consists of a 4.5S RNA and the Ffh protein (a homologue of the eukaryotic SRP54 protein). Lineage: Bacteria; Bacillati; Actinomycetota; Thermoleophilia; Solirubrobacterales; Conexibacteraceae. The record is from Rfam by way of RNAcentral.
CCGUGCUAGGCGGGGAGGUAGCGGUGCCCUGAAUCCGCAAUCCGCUCUAGCGGGGCUGAAUUCCCUUUCGAGGGGUUCGGCGUCCGAGGCCAGCCCGCUGUGCAAAGCGUCGAUGGUCAGGUCCCGCGCGGUGACGGCCCGCGAACCAGGUCAGGUCCGGAAGGAAGCAGCCUUAAACGGUCACCGUCAUGCGUAGCGGGAGUGCCUGCCGGAGUGGAGCAUGGCGUCAGCGCUCGAGCGUCGAUCUCGACGAAGGGUGCACGG